UCGCGGCGAGUUCGCGGGCGGCGGCGUGGGGGUGGCCGCUCGGGCCCCUCUGGCGGGGCACGCUCCGUCCUCCCGCACCAGGUCUAGUCCGAGGUGGAGCCGGCCUUCCGAGGUCAGCCCAGCUCCGGACCCGAGUGCGCGGCCGCGGUCGCCAGGUAGAGCCGCUUUCCGGGCCUGGGCGGUCCCUGGCUCCUCAGCCCCAGUCCGAAGGACACCGGGGCGAAGGCGGGAGUCACCAGUGAGCGCCAUUGCCCGGUGCCUUAAGCCACUGGUCUGGUUUGGCGCACACGGAUGCUCUGCCAAGUCGGAAUUGUCGCCCUUAUUUUGGAGGAAACGAAACCGAGGCUCCGGAGAGCAUCACUUCUUAUGACUCAGACCUCGAUUUCAGAAACCCAGAAACCAUGAGGAAUAUGACAGAGCAAAGCAUAUGAGAGAGGAAAUCUUAGGCCUGGUCUUCAGUCUCUCAGUAAUGCAAUGGGUAAAUUUAGGGAAAGAAGAAUAAAAGAGUGGCAGGAAAAGGAAUGGAAAAAUGAAGUCUCCAGAACUCUGAAGAUAAUAAGAAAAGAUGGGAGAAGGAUGGCAUGAAAAAGAGAGGUGAAAGAGAAGGGCUGAGUCUAAUCUAGUGCCGAUCCUAGUCUGUGCUGGUGUCUGACUAUAAACGUCGGAAUUGUCUUUGGGUCUACAGUUAUUGGAAGACGUAAAUGGGUGGGAUAAGCAAGACACCUCACUUGCAUGGACAUCAGCAGGCAGGUCGUUACUUGUCUGCUGGGAAUUCAUCUACAGCUUCAGACAAGGGCCUACACGUUCUCCAUGUGGCUUGUUUUUUUCCCAGCAUGAUGCCUGGACUCCCAAGAGAGCAUCCUGAGUACUAAGUGGCCCCAGAACAAGCAUUUCAAAAAGCCCAGUGCAUCCUGCUCAGCUGUCUCAGUAUUCUGUCUCUGACAAUGGUGAAAAGGGAGCCUAGGAUCUUUUGACAAGGUGAAGCCCUUAAAAGCUGAUCAGAAGCAUCUAUCACCACCACCAUCACCACCUUGGGCAUCGACUUGAGGGAUUUUAUUGUUGAACCGACUUGUUAAGAGGUCCCAAAUUUCCAGUGUCUGUGUGUCUUUUCUCCUGGGAAGGACUAUGCGUCCCCACCCGCGGCCCCCUGCCUGAGGUGAAAUGAGCCUAUCCGAUGUAUUCUGGACAUUGGCGGGAAAAGGAGACUGCAGGUAUCAUGGUGCAGCAUGAUUGGGGGGUGGUAGGGAGGGUCCUGGUGGCCUGACUGCUCUUUACACAAAAUUUUAACCAGUUACGCUUGUACAUUUGUGUGGUAAAAUAUACAUAGAACUUACUAUUUCAACCAUUUUUAAGCAUACAACUCAGUGGCAUUAAGUACAUUCACAGUGAUGUGUAGCAAUCACCACUAUCCAUACCCAAACCUUUGUCAUCAUCUUCAACAAAAUCUCCACGCAUUAAACACCAACACUCUGUCCCCCUUCUCCUGGUUCCUGGUGACCUCCGUUCUGUCUGUCUCUGUGAACUGGCCUAUUCUGGUACCUCAUGUAAGAAUUAUACAGUAUUUGUCCUUCUGUGUUCUUCACACCUUUUGACCUUUAUAUUUUUCAGUAACUCAGAUUAAGUCAGUGCCCAAGGCCAUCAGCUCUGAAUGGCAACAUGGCCACAGGAACCAGUGUCAAAAGACACUAGUCUCAACUGUUGGGCCGCUACUACCUCAGUGGUUGACUUUUGCCAUCCAUAUGCCUGUGUAUCCAUAUGUAGCAGGGAUUUUGCAUUUGCCAUUAAAUACUGAAUGUUUUUCAAACCAUUAGGAAUUCUCUGAAACAUUUUAACGCUUCCUAACAGUCAUUUUUUAUGUAUCAUGCUUUAUUUUUUAUUGUUUUGAAUUUUAAGUAACAGUAUAUACCUUCGUACAUAAAUACCUGUAUUUCUGACUAGAACUCUAUGGUAAAAGAGAAUGUUAUUUCUGGUUCAAACAAUAGAACAUAAUUAUUAUUUGAUACUUGUUAAAUUACCCUUCAGAAAUUAGCAAGUUUAUAAUACAAGUAUUCUUAAGUCAUUUUCAUUACUACUAAUUUUAAUUAGGUAAAAAUAAGGUUCUACUGGUUUUAAGAGUCUUUAAUAACUGGUAAAGAAUAUUUUUCAUUUUCUCUAUAUUGCUUAGGCCACUAGCUCAUUUUCUAUUCUGUAUUUUAAGGUAUUCAUGUGAACCUUUUCCUAUAUUUUGUGCCAUAUUUUUUCCCCCAAUUUUUCCCUCAUUUUAAAUUUGAUGAAUUAAUGGGUGAAACAGAAUAGUCCAGCAUUCAGUCAUUUUGUCUGGUUUCCUCACUUGAGAUCUAGAUUUUUUUCAUGGUGAGGGGUUAACACUUUCAUUGCCUUUGUGGUUUCAAAGUAGAGAUAUUUUUAUUGCUUUUAGUAAUUAAGAAACUAGUAAGUUUUCUUUUCAAAAGCACUCACUGGUAUAGAAAUAUAGAAAGCAGGAAAUAAAAGGCUCCAUAAUCAUAUUCUCGUGUAACCAUCUGCAGAACGUAUGGGGAGAUUCAGUCGUAAAUACAAAGAAAAAUAAUACAUGAAAAAAAUGAGGCAAUUAUUAACCCUAGGGAAAAUAUAAUCAUAGCACAGUCAUUGGUUCUGAAGUGAACAGUAUUUCAAUGGGUGAAAAUAUAAACAAUAAAUAUGGAUUUAACCAAAAAUUUUAACAUAGCCAUAUUGGGAAGAGGGAGGAGGGUGGGGGGGAAGUAAACGAGAUUGAAAUAUCCUCCUUUAUCCUUUUAUGUAUUAAUUGGCAGAAAUCUAUGUAUUUUAUUUAGCAAUAGAUAUAUAUACACGUGAAGAGAAACAGCUAAAGCAGCUGGCUGCUUCUGGGGAAUGGAACUUGGUGCCAAAGGCAGGACAAAUUACUGC
Molecule: long non-coding RNA, 2904 nt
Organism: Camelus dromedarius (Arabian camel)
Lineage: Eukaryota; Metazoa; Chordata; Mammalia; Artiodactyla; Camelidae
Exons: 5
Source: RefSeq, a predicted model, not a curated record